UGCAAAGCCAGGUGAAGGAUACUGGUUCA
This 29-nucleotide non-coding RNA is filed under the name Homo sapiens (human). The record is from RNAcentral. Lineage: Eukaryota; Metazoa; Chordata; Mammalia; Primates; Hominidae.